CAAAAGCACAAUCAGCGGAAGACAGAGAGACAUGGUUCCCUUCGUUUGACAUCGGGACAAGAAAACCACACUAUCUAUAUGCAUCACCAAAUGAAGAAGAAUUGGUUCUGAGUAAAGAGAAUAAACAAGUCAAAGCUGAAAAGAACAAUGACAAGCCAACUUGGAGUUUCCAGGAAAUUACCAUAACUUGAACAAUAAAUUCCACAAAUUGAGGUUAGUAAAGCACUAGGUAUCUACACCACCAUGAUCGACUAUACUAAUUCUAGCAUUAUCUGACGCAUAAGAAAUCCAUUUUUAGCUUUUCAGAAUAAUCAGGCAAUGGAAUGAUGAUGGAGCCAUAAUCCCCACACCAAUUAGGAGGAAGGAGUUUCUACUUUUUUGACAUUUAAAGACUGAAAACCCAAGUUAGUUAAAAGGGCGGGAGAAGAAACUGAUUCUACGGAAGUAGGUUAAAUUACAAUUUGCGGAAAGGAGAGCGGAACCGCAAGAGCUAAAAAGGGAACAUACCGAUUAAGAGUUGACCCCUUUGCAACGCAGCUGCUCUCUCUCUCUCUCUCUCUCGGCAGCUUGUGUAGCUUGAGCUCCCACUGCGCUAGGGACUGACGAUACAGAAAACGAGAGACGAGAGGAUCGAUAUGCCCUUUC
This 645-nucleotide long non-coding RNA is filed under the name Nicotiana tabacum (common tobacco). RNAcentral's name for it is "long non-coding RNA (NTAB_LNC003853)". Lineage: Eukaryota; Viridiplantae; Streptophyta; Magnoliopsida; Solanales; Solanaceae. The record is from RNAcentral.